Non-coding RNA from Mycena leptocephala, 94 nucleotides. The record is from the annotation of a GenBank genome assembly. Lineage: Eukaryota; Fungi; Basidiomycota; Agaricomycetes; Agaricales; Mycenaceae.
GGUUCGAUGGCAGAGUGGUAAUGCAGCCGCGUCUUGUACCGGAAGCCAAUUACAGUAUCUGCGGAGGUCGUCUGUUCGAACCAGGCUCGAGCCA